This 66-nucleotide transfer RNA is filed under the name Euprymna scolopes. RNAcentral's name for it is "tRNA-Trp". Lineage: Eukaryota; Metazoa; Mollusca; Cephalopoda; Sepiida; Sepiolidae. The record is from RNAcentral.
AAGAUUUUAGGUUAAAUAAACUGAAGACUUUCAAGGUCUUAUAUAAAUUACAUAAUUUAAAUCUUG